This 662-nucleotide long non-coding RNA is filed under the name Taeniopygia guttata (zebra finch). RNAcentral describes it as "lncRNA (ENSTGUG00000026905.1)". Lineage: Eukaryota; Metazoa; Chordata; Aves; Passeriformes; Estrildidae. The record is from RNAcentral.
GAAAAACAGACCUUCAGGAAUCUAAGAGAGAUCUAUAUUCAGUUGGCAGAGAUGCGUAAAGUGACAUUGGCUGCUGUUGUACUCAGGUAGAAAAUGUGACCAAAGACGCAGAAUGGAAGCAGAGGUCGAGGUGAGUGCAGAGCAGAAGUGAUGGCAGCACCCUUUCCGUUCCAGGGCUGAGCACAAGGAUGUGAAGCUGGACGUCCCAGACUCCACUCCAGUGAAGCCUCCUGCUGAUGAACUCAUCCUUUGAUGCCAACGAGGUGGCUUCAGAGUGACACUCCCACUGCAAUUACAGGGACAGCCUUGGCACCUUUAGGGUUGGGAUGGAAACAGCCCUGAGCCCCUCUCUGCAGUCUUUGCUUGAGGAAGCCCACAGUGAAGGACAGUGAGGAUUUGUCCUUGCAGGACACAGAAGAACACGCCUGCUCUGGGCUCUGCCAGGUGCCACUCAAAGCGCUCCCACUCGGCUCCUGCUCUGAACCAACCCCAGGAGGAGGCUGCUUCUUCCCGUGGACUCCAGCCAAGGACAAAAAUCGCAGCUCAAAUGGUUGGGGAGCAUUCAGCACUUGUUUGGAGUGGAGCAGAAAGGGGCUUUAUGUUCGAUUUCUGACUUUUUCUUUCGUGCUCUACCUUGAACUGCUUGCUGAGAUCACACAGAG